UCCUCAUUAAAAAAUUUGAAGUUGUUGUGGUUUUAUCAGAAAGAAGAAGAAGAAAAGAGAGGAAUCUGUAUCCUACCCCAGAAUUCUAAUAGGAAAUGAAUCACGGGAAGGAGAAUCGGCAGUGACAGCUGGAAAGAAGCAAGGAUGACAUUUGCACACAGUUGUGGCUUCAAAUGGACUGACAUCAUAUCACUAUGUCACCUGGAGAAGAUAUUGCUGAAAAGUUGUUAAUGCUAAACAAGAAAACAAGAUCUACUUAUUUUGAAGAGCUGUUC
Long non-coding RNA from Lemur catta (Ring-tailed lemur), 275 nucleotides. RefSeq lists it as uncharacterized. The record is from RefSeq and is a predicted model, not a curated record. The transcript has 3 exons. Lineage: Eukaryota; Metazoa; Chordata; Mammalia; Primates; Lemuridae.